This 482-nucleotide ribosomal RNA is filed under the name uncultured Aquimarina sp. RNAcentral's name for it is "bacterial SSU rRNA". It matches the Rfam family "Bacterial small subunit ribosomal RNA", at positions 28 to 505 of the family's 1533-position model. Lineage: Bacteria; Pseudomonadati; Bacteroidota; Flavobacteriia; Flavobacteriales; Flavobacteriaceae. The record is from RNAcentral.
GAUGAACGCUAGCGGCAGGCUUAACACAUGCAAGUCGAGGGGUAACAUUAGUGCUUGCAUCAGAUGACGACCGGCGCACGGGUGCGUAACGCGUAUAGAACCUACCUUAUAGUAAGGGAUAGCCCAGAGAAAUUUGGAUUAAUACCUUAUGGUAUAUUAUUUUGGCAUCGGGAUGAUAUUAAAGAUUUAUUGCUAUAAGAUGGCUAUGCGUUCUAUUAGUUAGUUGGUAAGGUAACGGCUUACCAAGACAUCGAUAGAUAGGGGCCCUGAGAGGGGGAUCCCCCACACUGGUACUGAGACACGGACCAGACUCCUACGGGAGGCAGCAGUGAGGAAUAUUGGACAAUGGAGGCAACUCUGAUCCAGCCAUGCCGCGUGUAGGAAGACUGCCCUAUGGGUUGUAAACUACUUUUAUAGAGGAAGAAACCCCUGUAUGUAUACAGGUUUGACGGUACUCUACGAAUAAGGAUCGGCUAACUCCG